AGAUUGAACGCUGGCGGCAGGCCUAACACAUGCAAGUCGAGCGGUAGAGAGGUGCUUGCACCUCUUGAGAGCGGCGGACGGGUGAGUAAUGCCUAGGAAUCUGCCUAGUGGUGGGGGAUAACGUUCGGAAACGGACGCUAAUACCGCAUACGUCCUACGGGAGAAAGGCGGGGGACCUUCGGGCCUCGCGCCAUUAGAUG
Molecule: ribosomal RNA, 200 nt
Filed under: uncultured soil bacterium
Lineage: Bacteria
Description: partial 16S ribosomal RNA
Rfam family: Bacterial small subunit ribosomal RNA
Source: RNAcentral